AGUGAACGCUGGCGGUAGGCCUAACACAUGCAAGUCGAACGGCAGCACAGUAAGAGCUUGCUCUUACGGGUGGCGAGUGGCGGACGGGUGAGGAAUACAUCGGAAUCUACUUUUUCGUGGGGGAUAACGUAGGGAAACUUACGCUAAUACCGCAUACGACCUACGGGUGAAAGCAGGGGAUCUUCGGACCUUGCGCGAUUGAAUGAGCCGAUGUCGGAUUAGCUAGUUGGCGGGGUAAAGGCCCACCAAGGCGACGAUCCGUAGCUGGUCUGAGAGGAUGAUAAGCCACACUGGAACUGAGACACGGACCAGACUCCUACGGGAGGGAGCAGUGGGGAAUAUUGGACAAUGGGCGCAAGCCUGAUCCAGCCAUACCGAGUGGGUGAAGAAGGCCUUCGGGUUGGAAAGCCCUUUUGUUGGGAAAGAAAAGCAGCAGGUUAAUACCCCGCUGUUCUGACGGUACCCAAAGAAUAAGCACCGGCUAACUUCGUG
Molecule: ribosomal RNA, 492 nt
Filed under: uncultured bacterium
Lineage: Bacteria
Description: partial 16S ribosomal RNA
Rfam family: Bacterial small subunit ribosomal RNA
Source: RNAcentral